GGAUGAGGUAGGGAAGAAAUGGGCAAUAAAUACACUUUUUAGCAAAGGAAUCAGCAGCUGGAGAUGACACAGUAGAGAACUAAACACAGAAAAUGGGAACAGUUGCAGUCCUGCAGGGAAGUUGGCUUGGAUUCUGUGGUGGAAAGUGCUAGCACAAUGCCAACACUGCUGUGGGAUUUGUAGAAUCUUCUCUAGAUAAUUGUAGCAGAUUCAGACCAACCUAUUUGCAGCCCAUAUAAUUGAGAGUGAGCAGCAGAGAACCUUCUUGGUUUUCAGGCACUGAUCCCUUAACCAAGCUACCCGCCACCACCGACGUGGUACAUCUGUUGGUCUGUUUGGGGAGAAAAUAUGGUCUCAAAUGCAUCUCCAGUCUGGGGUGCUGGACCCAAAGGCUCAAUCCUCCAGCCAAAGCAUUGUUGAGGGGGCAGGAAGAAGCUCUUUGGAUUUGGCCAAAUCAGUAAAGAAAGCAAUGAAAGAAACACUAAUGCUUCACCUGCCAGGAGAAGGUUUACUACAGCUGCUCAAAGAAAAUAGACCCAGAAUAAGAAAAUGUCCACUUGGAUUUAGGAAACUAGCAAAUUCAUUCAGAUCUAGAGUGAUGCUUCUAAAACACACAGUGAAAAUGCACAUCAAAGUGAGAGGGAGAGAGAGAGCGAGCAAGAUUCUUUCUCACUUUCUUGGGUAAUAGUGCAGUUUUGUAUCAAUGCUCCUUUACUCAUAGGCCAUCAUUAUUGUGUUCAAUUUUAGUAUGUAGUAUACCCACUCAGAAAUUAGUCUUUUUAAUGCCACAUUAUACUAGCAUUGCUGCUGACCUACUGGACACCUGAAUCUUAGUUGUGGUGGACAAGUAAAAUCCAUACAACCUAGAUAUUUAUCUCUAAAAAUACCCAGAAGGAUUCUUUAUUUGAUGGUUUUAUGAAGAAAAUAAAAAAAUUAUCUGAAAAUGACUGAAUCUGAAU
This 959-nucleotide long non-coding RNA is filed under the name Vulpes vulpes (red fox). Its description in RNAcentral is "lncRNA (ENSVVUG00000026371.1)". Lineage: Eukaryota; Metazoa; Chordata; Mammalia; Carnivora; Canidae. The record is from RNAcentral.